GGGUCGUUAGCUCAGUUGGUAGAGCGGCGGACUUUUAAUCCGUUGGUCGAGCGUUCGAAUCGCUCACGACCCACCA
Molecule: transfer RNA, 76 nt
Filed under: Neisseria meningitidis
Lineage: Bacteria; Pseudomonadati; Pseudomonadota; Betaproteobacteria; Neisseriales; Neisseriaceae
Description: tRNA-Lys(ttt)
Rfam family: tRNA
About the family: Transfer RNA (tRNA) molecules are approximately 80 nucleotides in length. Their secondary structure includes four short double-helical elements and three loops (D, anti-codon, and T loops). Further hydrogen bonds mediate the characteristic L-shaped molecular structure. tRNAs have two regions of fundamental functional importance: the anti-codon, which is responsible for specific mRNA codon recognition, and the 3' end, to which the tRNAs corresponding amino acid is attached (by aminoacyl-tRNA synthetases). tRNAs cope with the degeneracy of the genetic code in two manners: having more than one tRNA (with a specific anti-codon) for a particular amino acid; and 'wobble' base-pairing, i.e. permitting non-standard base-pairing at the 3rd anti-codon position.
Source: RNAcentral